Acanthosepion pharaonis is the source of this 99-nucleotide non-coding RNA. NCBI's taxonomy places the organism in Eukaryota, Metazoa, Mollusca, Cephalopoda, Sepiida, Sepiidae. The record is from the annotation of a GenBank genome assembly.
GUUGAAACACCGGUUCUCGUACGAUCACCGAAGUUAAGCAAAACCUAACCUAGUCAGUAGCAAGAUGGGUUACCGCUUGGGUAUACCAGUUGCUGUAAG